AUGCCAUGUACCGUCACGGCUAUCGGUUAGCCUUUUUCCUUUUUCAGAGAGAAACCAACUGGUUAUAAAAAUGAAAGAGAUAAAAACAUAUUUUCCACAUUAAAAGUACAGCAUUUAGUGAUUAGAAGUGUAAAAUUUACAGCCACUUAUCUCCUUGCGUAGUGAGUGUCCCAGACCUCUCUCCCUCACAAGUUCUAUUUCUCCCUCACAAUAACCAAAAAAAGUGACAGAUAAAAGAUCUUUUUUUUUAAAAACAAAAAAAUUCUAUUUACAAGAAAAUAUGCCUCUCCUAGCUACAAAUCUUCAUCUAGAGACUAAGUAGCUAGAGAGGUGUGUGAUUCAAAUUCGGAGUCUACUUAGAAACUAGAACCGAACUCAAAUUUCGAUACGAUUCCGGUUUGAUUCUUUAUUGUUUCGGUUUGGUUCAUGGUUCUUCAGUUCCCGUUUAGUUCUCUGUUUUGGAAAUAAUUUUUAUGUAAUUGUUUCUAUAAAAAGUAAUGCUUGAA
This 506-nucleotide unclassified non-coding RNA is filed under the name Hevea brasiliensis (rubber tree). Lineage: Eukaryota; Viridiplantae; Streptophyta; Magnoliopsida; Malpighiales; Euphorbiaceae. The record is from RNAcentral.